RNAcentral lists this signal recognition particle RNA (294 nucleotides) under Aotus nancymaae (Ma's night monkey). RNAcentral describes it as "Metazoan signal recognition particle RNA (ENSANAG00000008297.1)". It matches the Rfam family "Metazoan signal recognition particle RNA". From Rfam's summary of the family: The signal recognition particle (SRP) is a universally conserved ribonucleoprotein. It is involved in the co-translational targeting of proteins to membranes. The record is from RNAcentral. Lineage: Eukaryota; Metazoa; Chordata; Mammalia; Primates; Aotidae.
GCCGGGCGCAGGGGCAUGUGCCUGUAGUACCAGCUACUCAGGAGGCUGAGGUGGGAGGAUCACAUGAGCCCAGGAGUUCUGGGCUGUAGUGCGCUAUGCCGAUCGGGUGUCCGCACUAAGUUCAGCAUCAAUAUGGUGGCUUCCCGGGAGCGGGGGACCACCAGGUUGCCUAAGGAGGGGUGAACUGGCCCAGGUCAGAAACAGAGCAGGUCCAAACUGCUGAUCAGUAGUGGGAUCGCGCCUGUGAAUAGCCACUGCACUCCAGCCUGAGCAACUUAUCGAGACCCCGUCUCU